UUUUAUGGAACGGACGUGUCAAUCUAAGGAUAUUUCUCUUUCUUUCUCAUCUUCUUUCUCCACCGUGUGGCUUUUAUCUCUGUUCCAAAUUCCAUCAACACUUCGAUCAUCUUGGUCUUGUCGAUGGUUCGCGCUGUGCUCAGCUCUCAUUUGGAACAUCAAGCUUUUUCCUCCGGCCCUGCGUAUCUGCUUCACUUCAUCUUAAUCAUUCCUCUUCUAGGUUUAUUGGUAGGUAUACUGAUGAUCCUCCAAUUUCAUUUCAAUAACCCUUUAAUCUUUUUCUAUUUGGAUUUCAAUUUCAUCAGCUUCUUCGAAGUAUUGGUUAAUUAAUCUGUGUUUUCUGAGAUGUCGUUCAUUGAAUAGUGUAUAAAGCUAUUGUUGAAGGUGAUUAUGAUUUUAGUUGUAUAUGUAAUCGAUUUGAAAAUACGUGAAGCAAUGAUAAUUUCUCAAUUCGUCUUCUGUAUUUGAAUUACUUAUUCUAAUAGUUGUAGUUGAAUGAUUCGUUGUUUUUUUGUUAAUUUUUCUUCUUGUAGUGUAAGACCUAGAAAUUAUCCCGUUUCGUUUGUCGUCAACGAAGCCACUUUAAGGUAAUUUCUUUAUUCUCUUUCAUUUUAUUUGUGUUGUUUCACGCUUCUUCGUCGACUCUGAUAUGAUAAUAGUAGAGAUUUUUACGGGUGCUGCCUCGAAGCCCUAAAUCCGUAUUCUCUCCCUUAUCUCCACAAAAUCAACUUGGUAUAGCUGUAUGUAACUUUAUUUAGGGAUUUUAUUCCAUAAAUAAUGUGGAAUUAGUCUACAGUUGAAGCAAGGAUGACAUCUAGGUUUGCUGAAUCAAAGGGAAUUGCCAUGGAAUUUAGGGUAUUAUAGAUUUUCUCUGGAGACCAUCGUCGGUUCCUGUAUUUUAUCCCUUUUACUGUCAUGUGUAGAUAUAUAUGAUGCAUAAUCAGAAACCAAGUGUUUUUCUGCAUCUUUACCAGCUUGCUAUGAUCUUAAUUUUUAUCUGGACAUGUUAUUACUGAAAUGAUGCUUCUAUCAUUUAUUUUUCUACUGAUGUUACCUCCCAUUACGUAUAACUAGCAUCAUAAUGCAAAGAUGAGGAUGAUGAAAGGAUAUUUCCCACUUUAUUGCCCCUACUACGGGAGUCCAUUCCAAGUGCAACAGAAGAUAUUGAAUCUGAAAUCGACAAUCAAAUGACAAAAAAAGGUCCUACCUUUUGUUUUUGCUUUUAUAUUGAUCGUUAUACAACUCAAUUUUCUUUUUUCUUUUUUUUUUUAAUAAUUUUGUCUUUUUGAAAUCAAUGAUAAGUAAACAGCAUCCAAGGAUGAGUGCAUAUAUGAUUUGUAUGCUGUGAAAGAUGAUGAAGAUACAUCAGCCCCAUUUCCAGUAUAAGGAUUCAUCAUUUUUCUCUAUGGUUCCAUGAAUUACCUUUUUACCCUUGCCUCAUAUGGAACAUGUUGUUGGAUUUUCGUGUAGCUUCCAAGUCAAAUUUUAAUGGGAUUUAGCAUAUGGUUUGAUGGUUUUUUGAUAUUAGAUUUUUUGGUAGAAUUGUAUCUAUCAUGUGGAAGUAGCCGAUGAGAAACAAGCAUCAGAUCUAUUUCUCAACCAUAUCAAUUCAUAUAUAUCUUGAGAAAAUGAUCAUUAAAAUCAUAAGAAUUUUUGUGGUUUAAUCAUAUAAUCUCAUCAAGUAUACUCAACUCUAUUCUUAAUAAAAGUAAAAUAGAAGCUGGGAAGAUGGAGGUAGAAGAAAAAGAGUUUGAGUUGACAAAAGUAGUUUUUAUAAUUCCAUUACUAAAUGUUUCUUUUAUUUUUGGUUUUUCCUCUAAUUUAUGCUUACAAACAGUAACAACUUUUGAGCCAAGCGAAACAAUUUUUAUUUUAGUUGGCUGUUUUAUCUUGGUCUCCGUUGCU
RNAcentral lists this long non-coding RNA (1905 nucleotides) under Lactuca sativa (garden lettuce). Its description in RNAcentral is "long non-coding RNA (LSAT_LNC001223)". The record is from RNAcentral. Lineage: Eukaryota; Viridiplantae; Streptophyta; Magnoliopsida; Asterales; Asteraceae.